GAUGAACGCUGGCGGCGUGCCUAAUACAUGCAAGUCGAGCGAGUGGCGGACGGGGGGGUAAUGUCUGGGAAACUGCCCGAUGGAGGGGGAUAACUACUGGAAACGGUAGCUAAUACCGCAUACCCUCGGAUGUGCCCAGAUGGGAUUAGCUAGUAGGUGGGGUAACGGCUCACCCAGGCGACGAUCCAUAGCUGGUCUGCGAGGAUGACCAGCCACACUGGAACUGAGACACGGUCCAGACUCCUACGGGAGGCAGCAGUGGGGAAUAUUGCACAAUGGGCGCAAGCCGGAUGCAGCCAUGCCGCGUGUAUGAUGAAGGCCUUCGGGUUGUAAAGUACUUUCAGCGAGGAGGCGUUACUCGCAGAAGAAGCACCGGCUAACUCCGUGCCAGCAGCCGCGGUAAUAC
Molecule: ribosomal RNA, 406 nt
Filed under: uncultured bacterium
Lineage: Bacteria
Description: partial 16S ribosomal RNA
Rfam family: Bacterial small subunit ribosomal RNA
Source: RNAcentral